Molecule: ribosomal RNA, 296 nt
Filed under: uncultured bacterium
Lineage: Bacteria
Description: partial 16S ribosomal RNA
Rfam family: Bacterial small subunit ribosomal RNA
Source: RNAcentral
GGUAGUCCUUGCCGUAAACUAUGUAUACUUGGUGUAACUGGACUCAACCCUAGUUGUGCCGGAGCUAACGCGAUAAGUAUACCGCCUGGGGAGUACGCUCGCAAGGGUGAAACUCAAAAGAAUUGACGGGGACCCGCACAAGCAGUGGAGCAUGUGGUUUAAUUCGAUGCAACGCGAAGAACCUUACCCAGACUUGACAUACAGUGGAAUAUUGCAGAAAUGUAAUAGCCCUUCGGGGCCGCUGAACAGGUGCUGCAUGGCUGUCGUCAGCUCGUGCCGUGAGGUGUUGGGUUAAG